Molecule: transfer RNA, 89 nt
Filed under: Puccinia triticina
Lineage: Eukaryota; Fungi; Basidiomycota; Pucciniomycetes; Pucciniales; Pucciniaceae
Also listed under: 1 other name
Description: tRNA-Trp
Rfam family: tRNA
About the family: Transfer RNA (tRNA) molecules are approximately 80 nucleotides in length. Their secondary structure includes four short double-helical elements and three loops (D, anti-codon, and T loops).
Source: RNAcentral
GACUCCAUGGCGCAAUGGUAGCGCGUUCGACUCCAGUCACCAUAGCUUGUGUCAUCGAAAGGUUGCGUGUUCAAGUCACGUUGGGGUCA